AACGAACGCUGGCGGCAGGCCUAACACAUGCAAGUCGAACGAUAAGCCACCUUCGGGUGGUGGACAGUGGCAGACGGGUGAGUAACGCGUGGGAACGUGCCUUUCGGUUCGGGAUAACCCAGGGAAACUUGGGCUAAUACCGGAUACGCCCUUCGGGGGAAAGAUUCAUUGCCGAAAGAUCGGCCCGCGUCGGAUUAGCCAGUUGGUGGGGUAAUGGCCUACCAAGGCGACGAUCCGUAGCUGGUCUGAGAGGAUGACCAGCCACACUGUGACUGAGACACGGCCCAGACUCCUACGGGAGGCAGCAGUGGGGAAUAUUGGACAAUGGGCGAAAGCCUGAUCCAGCCAUGCCGCGUGGGUGAAGAAGGCCUUAGGGUUGUAAACCCCUUUCAGCGGGGACGAUAAUGACGGUACCCGCAGAAGAAGUCCCGGCUAACUCCGUGCCAGCAGCCGCAGUAA
This 459-nucleotide ribosomal RNA is filed under the name uncultured bacterium. Its description in RNAcentral is "partial 16S ribosomal RNA". It matches the Rfam family "Bacterial small subunit ribosomal RNA", at positions 29 to 523 of the family's 1533-position model. The record is from RNAcentral.